RNAcentral lists this ribosomal RNA (253 nucleotides) under uncultured bacterium. RNAcentral's name for it is "partial 16S ribosomal RNA". It matches the Rfam family "Bacterial small subunit ribosomal RNA", at positions 524 to 776 of the family's 1533-position model. The record is from RNAcentral.
UACGUAGGUGGCAAGCGUUGUCCGGAAUUAUUGGGCGUAAAGCGCGCGCAGGUGGUUUCUUAAGUCUGAUGUGAAAGCCCACGGCUCAACCGUGGAGGGUCAUUGGAAACUGGGGAACUUGAGUGCAGGAGAGAAGAGUGGAAUUCCACGUGUAGCGGUGAAAUGCGUAGAGAUGUGGAGGAACACCAGUGGCGAAGGCGACUCUUUGGCCUGUAACUGACACUGAGGCGCGAAGGCGUGGGGAGCGAACGGG